ACGGAAGGCAGCAGUGGGGAAUAUUGGACAAUGGGGGAAACCCUGAUCAAGCGACGCCGCGUGAGUGAAGAAGUAUUUCGGUAUGUAAAGCUCUAUCAGCAAGGAAGAAAAUGACGGUACUUGACUAAGAAGCUCCGGCUAAAUACGUGCCAGCAGCCGCGGUAAUACGUAUGGAGCAAGCGUUAUCCGGAUUUACUGGGUGUAAAGGGAGCGUAGACGGCAAAGCAAGUCUGAAGUGAAAUCCCGGGGCUCAACCCCGGAACUGCUUUGGAAACUGUUUAGCUAGAGUGCAGGAGAGGUAAGCGGAAUUCCUAGUGUAGCGGUGAAAUGCGUAGAUAUUAGGAGGAACACCAGUGGCGAAGGCGGCUUACUGGACUGUAACUGACGUUGAGGCUCGAAAGCGUGGGGAGCAAACAGGAUUAGAUACCCUGGUA
RNAcentral lists this ribosomal RNA (434 nucleotides) under uncultured Lachnospiraceae bacterium. RNAcentral's name for it is "partial 16S ribosomal RNA". It matches the Rfam family "Bacterial small subunit ribosomal RNA", at positions 341 to 792 of the family's 1533-position model. The record is from RNAcentral. Lineage: Bacteria; Bacillati; Bacillota; Clostridia; Lachnospirales; Lachnospiraceae.